Eurytemora carolleeae is the source of this 262-nucleotide long non-coding RNA. RefSeq lists it as uncharacterized. Lineage: Eukaryota; Metazoa; Arthropoda; Copepoda; Calanoida; Temoridae. The transcript is spliced from 3 exons. The record is from RefSeq and is a predicted model, not a curated record.
GUGGAACCAGAGAUUGUGAACAGUAUGGACUCGAGGCAUUAAUAAACCCUCAGGGAGAAAUUGUUUGUGCCUGUUCACAAGGUCAAGUUCAGGAUGAGAAUGAUGAAUGCCAAGUAGAGUUUACGGAAGGAACUAACUGUAAUAAUUGAUUGAUUGAUCAAUUGAUUGAUUAAUUGAUUAGGAUGAGAAUGAUGAAUGCCAAGUAGAGUUUACUGAAGGAACUAAUUGUAAUAAUUGAUUGAUUGAUCAAUUGAUUGAUUGA